Molecule: ribosomal RNA, 253 nt
Filed under: uncultured bacterium
Lineage: Bacteria
Description: partial 16S ribosomal RNA
Rfam family: Bacterial small subunit ribosomal RNA
Source: RNAcentral
UACGUAGGGUGCGAGCGUUGUCCGGAAUUAUUGGGCGUAAAGAGCUUGUAGGCGGUUUGUCGCGUCUGCUGUGAAAAUCCGGGGCUCAACCCCGGACUUGCAGUGGGUACGGGCAGACUAGAGUACUGCAGGGGAGACUGGAAUUCCUGGUGUAGCGGUGGAAUGCGCAGAUAUCAGGAGGAACACCGGUGGCGAAGGCGGGUCUCUGGGCAACAACUGACGCUGAGGAGCGAAAGCGUGGGGAGCGAACAGG